UACGAAGGGGGCUAGCGUUGCUCGGAAUCACUGGGCGUAAAGCGCACGUAGGCGGAUCUUUAAGUCAGGGGUGAAAUCCUGGAGCUCAACUCCAGAACUGCCUUUGAUACUGGGGAUCUCGAGUCCGGGAGAGGUGAGUGGAACUGCGAGUGUAGAGGUGAAAUUCGUAGAUAUUCGCAAGAACACCAGUGGCGAAGGCGGCUCACUGGCCCGGUACUGACGCUGAGGUGCGAAAGCGUGGGGAGCGAACAGG
This 253-nucleotide ribosomal RNA is filed under the name uncultured bacterium. RNAcentral's name for it is "partial 16S ribosomal RNA". It matches the Rfam family "Bacterial small subunit ribosomal RNA", at positions 524 to 776 of the family's 1533-position model. The record is from RNAcentral.